This 393-nucleotide ribosomal RNA is filed under the name uncultured bacterium. Its description in RNAcentral is "partial 16S ribosomal RNA". It matches the Rfam family "Bacterial small subunit ribosomal RNA", at positions 523 to 918 of the family's 1533-position model. The record is from RNAcentral.
AUACGGAGGAUGCGAGCGUUAUCCGGAUUUAUUGGGUUUAAAGGGUGCGUAGGCGGGAUUUUAAGUCAGCGGUGAAACGCAAGGGCUCAACCCUUGACCUGCCGUUGAAACUGGAGUUCUUGAAUGCGGAUGCUGUGGGAGGAAUGUGUGGAGUAGCGGUGAAAUGCAUAGAUAUCACACAGAACACCGAUUGCGAAGGCAUCUCACAAAUCCGUGAUUGACGCUGAGGCACGAAAGUGUGGGGAUCAAACAGGAUUAGAUACCCAGGUAGUCCACACUGUAAACGAUGAUAACUCGCUGUCGGCGAUACACAGUCGGUGGCCAAGCGAAAGCGAUAAGUUAUCCACCUGGGGAGUACGACCGCAAGGUUGAAACUCAAAGGAAUUGACGGGG